RNAcentral lists this ribosomal RNA (383 nucleotides) under uncultured Thermovirga sp. RNAcentral's name for it is "bacterial SSU rRNA". It matches the Rfam family "Bacterial small subunit ribosomal RNA", at positions 999 to 1382 of the family's 1533-position model. Lineage: Bacteria; Thermotogati; Synergistota; Synergistia; Synergistales; Thermovirgaceae. The record is from RNAcentral.
GGUAGAAGGACUUACUCUUCGGAGUGAGAGCGUACACAGGUGCUGCAUGGCUGUCGUCAGCUCGUGUCGUGAGAUGUGGGUUAAGUCCCGCAACGAGCGCAACCCUGCAUUCAGUUGCCAUCGGUAAGGCCGGGCACUCUGGAUGGACUGCCGGCGACAAGCCGGAGGAAGGUGGGGACGACGUCAAGUCAUCAUGGCCCUUAUGUCCAGGGCGACACACGUGCUACAAUGGCCGGCACAACGGGAAGCGAAGGGGCGACCCUGAGCGGAUCCCACAAAAGCCGGUCUCAGUUCGGAUUGCAGUCUGCAACUCGACUGCAUGAAGUUGGAAUCGCUAGUAAUCGUGGAUCAGCCAAGCCGCGGUGAAUACGUUCCCGGGCCUU